GUCGAGCGAGCGCUUUGGAAAGAUUCUUCGGAUGAUUUCCUUUGCGAUUGAGCGGCGGACGGGUGAGUAACGCGUGGGUAACCUGCCUCAUACAGGGGGAUAACAGUUAGAAAUGACUGCUAAUACCGCAUAAGACCACGGUACCGCAUGGUACAGUGGUAAAAACUCCGGUGGUAUGAGAUGGACCCGCGUCUGAUUAGGUAGUUGGUGGGGUAACGGCCUACCAAGCCGACGAUCAGUAGCCGACCUGAGAGGGUGACCGGCCACAUUGGGACUGAGACACGGCCCAGACUCCUACGGGAGGCAGCAGUGGGGAAUAUUGCACAAUGGAGGAAACUCUGAUGCAGCGACGCCGCGUGAAGGAUGAAGUAUUUCGGUAUGUAAACUUCUAUCAGCAGGGAAGAAAAUGACGGUACCUGACUAAGAAGCCCCGGCUAACUACGUGCCAGCAGCCGCGGUAAUACGUAGGGGGCAAGCGUUAUCCGGAUUUACUGGGUGUAAAGGGAGCGUAGACGGCACGGCAAGCCAGAUGUGAAAGCCCGGGGCUCAACCCCGGGACUGCAUUUGGAACUGCUGAGCUAGAGUGUCGGAGAGGCAAGUGGAAUUCCUAGUGUAGCGGUGAAAUGCGUAGAUAUUAGGAGGAACACCAGUGGCGAAGGCGGCUUGCUGGACGAUGACUGACGUUGAGGCUCGAAAGCGUGNGGAGCAAACAGGAUUAGAUACCCUGGUAGUCCACGCCGUAANCGAUG
Molecule: ribosomal RNA, 749 nt
Filed under: uncultured bacterium
Lineage: Bacteria
Description: bacterial SSU rRNA
Rfam family: Bacterial small subunit ribosomal RNA
Source: RNAcentral